UACGUAGGGGGCAAGCGUUGUCCGGAAUCAUUGGGCGUAAAGCGCGUGUAGGCGGCUUGGUAAGUCCGCUCUGAAAGCCCGGGGCUCAACCCCGGGAGGCGGGUGGAUACUGUCAAGCUCGAGUCCGGAAGAGGCGAGUGGAAUUCCUGGUGUAGCGGUGAAAUGCGCAGAUAUCAGGAAGAACACCUAUGGCGAAGGCAGCUCUCUGGGACGGUACUGACGCUGAGACGCGAAAGCGUGGGGAGCGAACAGG
Molecule: ribosomal RNA, 253 nt
Filed under: uncultured bacterium
Lineage: Bacteria
Description: partial 16S ribosomal RNA
Rfam family: Bacterial small subunit ribosomal RNA
Source: RNAcentral